CUGAGCGCAUAUCUCAAAAAAUAUUAUUUCAGUACCGAUUCAGGGUGGAUCUGAAGACGUCACAGGAAAGAAAGCACCUGUCAGGAAAAUGAUACCUUGACAAAGUUCAGCAGUCGCCGGAAACCCCAGGGCACGGCGUAAAGCCACUCAGAUCCGGGGUCAGGCCAGCGUGGGUCCACCAGCUCAGCCAGGUCACGGUCAGUGAAGAAGCUGCUCCCGCGGCUGGAGGGGAAGUUCUUCUGGGUGACGUAGCGCGUGGUGAAGUGGGCGAUGCCCAGGAAGUCACAGGUGCCUCGGAUGUGACUCUUCUCCUGGGACGUGAAGCCUCGGUGUCCUUCUGAUUGGUGAUGUCGACCGGCUCUCCCCAGUCAGCUAGCAGAGAGAUGCCCACCAGCCCUGUGAAACACACACAUUUACCAUUAUGCUUUUGGAUCUUCUCCUCUCUGCGCAAGAUGAAGGUAUCCCCAUUCCUUACACUGACUCAAUGCUUUUUUUGCAUUUGUAAGCUCUGCAGCAAUGUUUGUGAAUAGUUCUCAUAAUUACCU
Sardina pilchardus (European sardine) is the source of this 545-nucleotide long non-coding RNA. RefSeq lists it as uncharacterized. Lineage: Eukaryota; Metazoa; Chordata; Actinopteri; Clupeiformes; Clupeidae. The record is from RefSeq and is a predicted model, not a curated record. The transcript is spliced from 3 exons.